GAAAUGAGAGAGCGGCGUACGGGUGCGGAACACGUGUGCAACCUGCCUUUAUCUGGGGGAUAGCCUUUCGAAAGGAAGAUUAAUACCCCAUAAUAUAAGAAACGGCAUCGUUUUUUAUUGAAAACUCCGGUGGAUAGAGAUGGGCACGCGCAAGAUUAGAUAGUUGGUGAGGUAACGGCUCACCAAGUCUACGAUCUUUAGGGGGCCUGAGAGGGUGAUCCCCCACACUGGUACUGAGACACGGACCAGACUCCUACGGGAGGCAGCAGUGAGGAAUAUUGGACAAUGGGUGAGAGCCUGAUCCAGCCAUCCCGCGUGAAGGACGACGGCCCUAUGGGUUGUAAACUUCUUUUGUAUAGGGAUAAACCUAGAUACGUGUAUCUAGCUGAAGGUACUAUACGAAUAAGCACCGGCUAACUCCGUGCCAGCAGCCGCGGUAAUACGGAGGGUGCAAGCGUUAUCCGGAUUUAUUGGGUUUAAAGGGUCCGUAGGCGGAUCUGUAAGUCAGUGGUGAAAUCUCACAGCUUAACUGUGAAACUGCCAUUGAUACUGCAGGUCUUGAGUGUUGUUGAAGUAGCUGGAAUAAGUAGUGUAGCGGUGAAAUGCAUAGAUAUUACUUAGAACACCAAUUGCGAAGGCAGGUUACUAAGCAACAACUGACGCUGAUGGACGAAAGCGUGGGGAGCGAACAGGAUUAGAUACCCUGGUAGUCCACGCCGUAAACGAUGCUAACUCGUUUUUGGAUUUUCGGAUUCAGAGACUAAGCGAAAGUGAUAAGUUAGCCACCUGGGGAGUACGUUCGCAAGAAUGAAACUCAAAGGAAUUGACGGGGGCCCGCACAAGCGGUGGAUUAUGUGGUUUAAUUCGAUGAUACGCGAGGNAACCUUACCAAGGCUUAAAUGGGAAAUGACAGGUUUAGAAAUAGACUUUUCUUCGGACANUUUUUCAAGGUGCUGCAUGGUUGUCGUCAGCUCGUGCCGUGAGGUGUUAGGUUAAGUCCUGCAACGAGCGCAACCCCUGUCACUAGUUGCCAUCAUUAAGUUGGGGACUCUAGUGAGACUGCCUACGCAAGUAGAGAGGAAGGUGGGGAUGACGUCAAAUCAUCACGGCCCUUACGCCUUGGGCCACACACGUAAUACAAUGGCCAGUACAGAGGGCAGCUACACAGCGAUGUGAUGCAAAUCUCGAAAGCUGGUCUCAGUUCGGAUUGGAGUCUGCAACUCGACUCUAUGAAGCUGGAAUCGCUAGUAAUCGCGCAUCAGCCAUGGCGCGGUGAAUACGUUCCCGGGCCUUGUACACACCGCCCGUCAAGCCAUGGAAGUCUGGGGUACCNGAAGUCGGUGACCGUA
This 1349-nucleotide ribosomal RNA is filed under the name Chryseobacterium sp. RNAcentral describes it as "bacterial SSU rRNA". It matches the Rfam family "Bacterial small subunit ribosomal RNA", at positions 84 to 1438 of the family's 1533-position model. The record is from RNAcentral. Lineage: Bacteria; Pseudomonadati; Bacteroidota; Flavobacteriia; Flavobacteriales; Weeksellaceae.